UGGCUCAGAUUGAACGCUGGCGGAAUGCUUUACACAUGCAAGUCGAGCGGCAGCGCGGGGCAACCUGGCGGCGAGCGGCGAACGGGUGAGUAAUGUAUCGGAACGUGUCCUGUUGUGGGGGAUAGCCCGGUGAAAACCGGAUUAAUACCGCAUACGAUCGAGAGAUGAAAGUGGGGGACCGCAAGGCCUCACGCGAUAGGAGCGGCCGAUAUCUGAUUAGCUAGUUGGUGGGGUAACGGCCCACCAAGGCGACGAUCAGUAGCUGGUCUGAGAGGAUGAUCAGCCACACUGGGACUGAGACACGGCCCAGACUCCUACGGGAGGCAGCAGUGGGGAAUUUUGGACAAUGGGGGGCAACCCUGAUCCAGCCAUUCCGCGUGAGUGAAGAAGGGCCUUCGGGGUUGUAAAGCUCUUUGUCCGGGGAAGAACGGGUUUGGCUAAUACCCAAGACUACUGACGGGUACCGGGAAGAAUAAGGGACCGGGCUAACUACGUGCCAGCCGCCGCU
RNAcentral lists this ribosomal RNA (508 nucleotides) under uncultured Comamonadaceae bacterium. Its description in RNAcentral is "bacterial SSU rRNA". It matches the Rfam family "Bacterial small subunit ribosomal RNA", at positions 20 to 519 of the family's 1533-position model. The record is from RNAcentral. Lineage: Bacteria; Pseudomonadati; Pseudomonadota; Betaproteobacteria; Burkholderiales; Comamonadaceae.